CCUACGGGAGGCAGCAGUGGGGAAUUUUGGACAAUGGGCGCAAGCCUGAUCCAGCAAUGCCGCGUGCAGGAUGAAGGCCUUCGGGUUGUAAACUGCUUUUGUACGGAGCGAAACGGUCUGCUUUAAUACAGUGGGCUAAUGACGGUACCGUAAGAAUAAGCACCGGCUAACUACGUGCCAGCAGCCGCGGUAAUACGUAGGGUGCGAGCGUUAAUCGGAAUUACUGGGCGUAAAGCGUGCGCAGGCGGUUAUAUAAGACAGAUGUGAAAUCCCCGGGCUCAACCUGGGACCUGCAUUUGUGACUGUAUAGCUAGAGUAUGGUAGAGGGGGAUGGAAUUCCGCGUGUAGCAGUGAAAUGCGUAGAUAUGCGGAGGAACACCGAUGGCGAAGGCAAUCCCCUGGACCUGUACUGACGCUCAUGCACGAAAGCGUGGGGAGCAAACAGGAUUAGAUACCCUGGUAGUCCACGCCCUAAACGAUGUCAACUGGUUNUUGGGUCUUCACUGACUCAGUAACGAAGCUAACGCGUGAAGUUGACCGCCUGGGGAGUACGGCCGCAAGGUUGAAACGUCAAAUGAAUUGACGGCUGAGACGNGCGAGGACGACGACGAGGGAGAGG
This 619-nucleotide ribosomal RNA is filed under the name uncultured bacterium. Its description in RNAcentral is "bacterial SSU rRNA". It matches the Rfam family "Bacterial small subunit ribosomal RNA", at positions 338 to 956 of the family's 1533-position model. The record is from RNAcentral.